RNAcentral lists this ribosomal RNA (369 nucleotides) under uncultured soil bacterium. Its description in RNAcentral is "bacterial SSU rRNA". It matches the Rfam family "Bacterial small subunit ribosomal RNA", at positions 26 to 395 of the family's 1533-position model. The record is from RNAcentral.
AGAUUGAACGCUGGCGGCAGGCCUAACACAUGCAAGUCGAGCGGCAGCACGGGUACUUGUACCUGGUGGCGAGCGGCGGACGGGUGAGUAAUGCCUAGGAAUCUGCCUGGUAGUGGGGGAUAACGCUCGGAAACGGACGCUAAUACCGCAUACGUCCUACGGGAGAAAGCGGGGGACCUUCGGGCCUCGCGCCAUUAGAUGAGCCUAGGUCGGAUUAGCUAGUUGGUGAGGUAAUGGCUCACCAAGGCGACGAUCCGUAACUGGUCUGAGAGGAUGAUCAGUCACACUGGAACUGAGACACGGUCCAGACUCCUACGGGAGCAGCAGUGGGAAUAUUGGACAAGUGGGACGAAAGCCUGAUCCAGCCAU